AUGAAUGAGUUGAAUAAUGUUCAA
This 24-nucleotide non-coding RNA is filed under the name Arabidopsis thaliana (thale cress). The record is from RNAcentral. Lineage: Eukaryota; Viridiplantae; Streptophyta; Magnoliopsida; Brassicales; Brassicaceae.